RNAcentral lists this long non-coding RNA (3372 nucleotides) under Gossypium raimondii (Peruvian cotton). Its description in RNAcentral is "long non-coding RNA (GRAI_LNC004859)". Lineage: Eukaryota; Viridiplantae; Streptophyta; Magnoliopsida; Malvales; Malvaceae. The record is from RNAcentral.
CCGGACCUAUUGGACAAUUUACAAUCAAUAUGGAAACCAACACAUUUUCACAUUCAAACCUAUUUAAAACAUGCUUUUCAUAAGUAAAUACUCAUCAUAUACCAAAUGAUCAAAUGGUCAUCUUGAACCAUCACCAAAAACCUUUAUCAAAAAGACUCAAGCCUAUACAUGUCAUAUAACCAAAAUCACAAAGCUUAUAAAUGUCAAACCAUAACUGGAUAGUGUGAUGACAUCUCCGACGACUUCCAAACCGAGCAAGCCUCCGAAACUCUAUAAACAAAAAAAAAGCUCUAAGACUUAGUAAGCUCGUAUAGAAAUAAAAUCAUGUUAUUAACUAACCGUAUUUAAAAAAAUUAUUCAAAAUAUGAUAUAAUACAUAUGAUUGCACCAUUCUAUUUCAAAUUCAUGCACAUAAUUAAUCCAGAUUUUCAUGAGUUUAUUCAUUCAAAACACGUAUAGUUUGAAUACUUCUUAUCAUUUCAUUCACAUUUUCAUAUGCGUAAAUAAUUAUAUAAAUAUACUUUAUUAUUCAAUAUCAUCACCUUUUCUUUAGCCAAGUAAAUUAUCAUCAAAUAACAAUAUUCCGCACACCAUGUGCCAUAUGUAUAUUUAGUUAACACAACUAUAACUCAUAUCUCACAUAUCAUUUAAUUCAUACCUCAUUAUAGUCAAAUAAACACAUUUUGGCAUGAAUCAUAUUUAUACAUAAAUCUUUCUCAUUUCAUAUGCAUGAUACACUAAGAAAUUACCAAAUUACCUUCAUAUGAUUCUCACUUAGGUUCUAUACGUAUCUGUAUCACUUAAUUCAAUUGUACUUUCAUUCUCAUCUUGAUUUUGCCCGUUGAAUCAUUCGAAAUCGUUAAGGAUACUCAGAAAUCAUAAUAGCUCGUAUAAUGUCAUAUCCCAGAUAUGUUCUUACAUGUUAUUACAUAUCGAUGCCACUGUCCCAGACAGGGUCUUAUACGAAAUCAUAUAACGAUGUCAAUGUCCCAGACAUGGUCUUAUACGUAAUCACAGUACAAUGCCAAUGUCUCAGACAUGGUCUUACUUAUUAUCACAUAUCGAUGCCACUGUCCCAGACAGGGUCUUAUACGAAAUCAUAUAACGGUGCCAAUUUCCCAAACAUGGUCUUAUACGUAAUCACAGUACAAUGUCAAUGUCCCAGACAUGGUCUUACAUGUUAUCACAUAUCGAUGCCACUAUCCCAGACAGGGUCUUAUACGAAAUCAUAUAACGAUGUCAAUGUCCUAGACAUGGUCUUAUACGUAAUCACAGUACAAUGCCAAUGUCCCAGACAUGGUCUUACUUAUUAUCACAUAUCGAUGCCACUGUCCCAGACAGGGUCUUAUACAAAAUCAUAUAACGAUGCCAAUUUCCCAGACAUGGUCUUAUACGUAAUCACAGUACAAUGCCAAUGUCCCAGACAUGAUCUUACAUGUUAUCACAUAUCGAUGCCACUGUCCCAGACAGGGUCUUAUACGAAAUCAUAUAACGAUGCCAAUGUCCCAGACAUGGUCUUAUACGUAAUCACAGUACAAUGCCAAUGUCCCAGACAUGGUCUUACAUGUUAUCACAUAUCGAUGCCACUGUCCCAGACAGGGUCUUAUACGAAAUCAUAUAACAAUGCCAAUGCCCCAUACAUGGUCUUAUAUGUAAUCACAGUACAAUGCCAAUGUCCCAGACAUGGUCUUACAUGUUAUCACAUAUCGAUGUCACUAUCCCAGACAAGGUCUUAUACGAAAUCAUAUAACGAUGCCAAUGUCCCAGACAUGGUCUUAUACGUAAUCACAGUACAAUGCCAAUGUCCCAAACAUGGUCUUACAUGUUAUCAAAUCUUGGUAACCUUAAUGUUAUGACAUUUGUAUCUUAUUCUAUUCUUUAGGUUCAUACGGGACUUUUGGACGUCGUAACUCUGCCAAUUUCGUCUCGUUUUCAUGACCAUUCAUCAUUCAAUUCAAUUUAAUAAUAAUUAAGUAUUUAUAAAAAAAUUUAAAUACGUUAUUACCAUACGAACUUACCUCGUUCGCUGUAACGACAAAUUAGGUCGACUAAUCCGAUACUUUGUUUUCCCCGUUCUAGAGAUCUCAUUUUUUUCUCAAUCUAUAUAAUAAUAAAAUUUUAUUUUUUAAUCAUUAAUUCAUUCAAUUUAACAUAAUUUACACAUUUUGGCAAAAAUUACACUUUUAACCACAUAAUUUCAAUAUUUCACAAUUUAAUCUCUAAUUUGCAUUUUCAUCAAAAAUUACUUCAUAAAAUAUGAAAAUCUAACAUCAAAUAUUCAUAUUUUACCAUUAAACAUCAAAGAAUACAUAAGCUCAUCAAUGGCAACUAUAUUUUGCGCAAGUAUCAACAAGCACUUAUUGUGUUUGAGGCUACACGAGCCUUGAACGCCAUGCUUCAUUUUUGGAUCUUAACAAGGGGAAAGGCAUGCUCACAAAUAAACAUAAUCUAGUUCUCACGAAAAAUAUUUCAUUUCUAUACACAUAAAUCAUGCAUCAUAAUUUAAAUAUUUUUAUCAUUUCAUAUAUCCAAUACUUACCUAUAUUUUGUAUUAAAAUUUGAUAUCAAUAUAAUCGAUUUUCAUUUAAUUUACCAUACAAGAUCAUGCAACACGAUAGCUCAAUUUUAAGUACAACAAUGACUCUAGUGUAUAGACGGGUUUGAAUAUCAUACACAUUCAACCUACCUAAACAAAACACUCCAGUGUUUUAAUUUUCAACGUGAAUUUGGACAUAUUGAAUUCUAGCAUGCAUUCGGACACUAAAAAAAAAAAUCAAUAUACAUUUGAACAUUAAAUUUUCACUAGCUGACAAAAAUAAUUUUCAGACAAUUUAGCUCCCUACAUCCUUUCAACAAAUGCUUGGUUCCUUAGCUUCAACCAAUAAUAAUGGGACAUUACUAAAACUGAAAUUUGGAAAUGUAAAUCCUAAAUUAAACUGUUUUAAGCUCCAAAAUUUAAUAACUCUUCAAACAUAAAUCGAACAGUAAUGCAUGUCAAUUUCAACCAUCUUUAUAUUUUGCUUAUUACCACAAAACAGGACAUUUAUCAACCACCAUUUUACUUUAAUUAGAACAGCAGCAGAUCAAUUACACCAAGAUUUAUUGCACUAUAAAAUACAGCAAUUACAUGUUGAAACUAUCAGCAUUCAACAGCAGGUUUCAACACCAACUAUACAUUUAUUUAUCAACUCUUCUUCACUUCUAACAUCAUUAUUUUGGUAACAAAUAACAUGUAUUUUAACUACUAUAACUUUGCUUAACAAUCCUUAAAUCUGCAUUUUACUUGCAUGUAUUAAACACAUAAUAAACAUGGAAACAUUUUCAAAGUUUCAUUGCAGGGACUUACCGAACAGUAGCUGAACCUACUCUUNN